Otolemur garnettii (small-eared galago) is the source of this 106-nucleotide small nuclear RNA. Lineage: Eukaryota; Metazoa; Chordata; Mammalia; Primates; Galagidae. The record is from Ensembl.
AUGCUUGCUUGGGAGCACAUAUACUAAAAUUGGAACAAUACAGAGAAGAUUAGCACAGCCCCUGCACAAGGAUGACACGCAAAUCUGUGAGGCAGUCCAAAUUUUU